UACGUAGGGGGCUAGCGUUGUCCGGAAUCAUUGGGCGUAAAGAGCGUGUAGGCGGUCCGGUAAGUCCGCUGUGAAAGUCGGGGGCUCAACCCUCGAAUGCCGGUGGAUACUGUCGGGCUAGAGUGCGGAAGAGGCGAGUGGAAUUCCUGGUGUAGCGGUGAAAUGCGCAGAUAUCAGGAGGAACGCCUAUUGCGAAGGCAGCUCGCUGGGACGUUACUGACGCUGAGACGCGAAAGCGUGGGGAGCAAACAGG
RNAcentral lists this ribosomal RNA (253 nucleotides) under uncultured bacterium. RNAcentral describes it as "partial 16S ribosomal RNA". It matches the Rfam family "Bacterial small subunit ribosomal RNA", at positions 524 to 776 of the family's 1533-position model. The record is from RNAcentral.